CCUACGGGAGGCAGCAGUGGGGAAUCUUGCGCAAUGGGCGAAAGCCUGACGCAGCAACGCCGCGUGCGGGAAGAAGGCCUUCGGGUUGUAAACCGCUUUCAGAAGGAACGAAAAUGACGGUACUUUCAGAAGAAGGUGCGGCCAACUACGUGCCAGCAGCCGCGGUGACACGUAGGCACCAAGCGUUGUCCGGAUUUAUUGGGCGUAAAGAGCUCGUAGGCGGUUCGGUAAGUCGGAUGUGAAAUCUUUGGGCUUAACCCAAAGCGUGCAUUCGAUACUGCCAUGACUAGAGUUCGGUAGGGGAGCGGGGAAUUCCUAGUGUAGCGGUGAAAUGCGCAGAUAUUAGGAGGAACACCGGUGGCGAAGGCGCCGCUCUGGGCCGAAACUGACGCUGAGGAGCGAAAGCGUGGGCAGCAAACAGGAUUAGAUACCCUGGUAGUCCACGCCGUAAACGUUGGGCACUAGGUGUGGGUCUCAACCAACGAGAUCCGCGCCGUCGCUAACGCAUUAAGUGCCCCGCCUGGGGAGUACGGCCGCAACGUUAAAACUCAAAUGAAUUGACGG
This 564-nucleotide ribosomal RNA is filed under the name uncultured bacterium. RNAcentral's name for it is "bacterial SSU rRNA". It matches the Rfam family "Bacterial small subunit ribosomal RNA", at positions 338 to 916 of the family's 1533-position model. The record is from RNAcentral.